UAGAGUUUGAUCCUGGCUCAGAUUGAACGCUGGCGGCAUGCCUUACACAUGCAAGUCGAACGGUAACAGGUCUUCGGACGCUGACGAGUGGCGAACGGGUGAGUAAUACAUCGGAACGUGCCCAGUCGUGGGGGAUAACUACUCGAAAGAGUAGCUAAUACCGCAUACGAUCUGAGGAUGAAAGCGGGGGACCUUCGGGCCUCGCGCGAUUGGAGCGGCCGAUGGCAGAUUAGGUAGUUGGUGGGAUAAAAGCUUACCAAGCCGACGAUCUGUAGCUGGUCUGAGAGGACGACCAGCCACACUGGGACUGAGACACGGCCCAGACUCCUACGGGAGGCAGCAGUGGGGAAUUUUGGACAAUGGGCGAAAGCCUGAUCCAGCAAUGCCGCGUGCAGGAUGAAGGCCUUCGGGUUGUAAACUGCUUUUGUACGGAACGAAAAAGCUCCUUCUAAUACAGGGGGCCCAUGACGGUACCGUAAGAAUAAGCACCGGCUAACUACGUGCCAGCAGCCGCGGUAAUACGUAGGGUGCGAGCGUUAAUCGGAAUUACUGGGCGUAAAGCGUGCGCAGGCGGUUAUGUAAGACAGAUGUGAAAUCCCCGGGCUCAACCUGGGAACUGCAUUUGUGACUGCAUGGCUAGAGUAC
This 645-nucleotide ribosomal RNA is filed under the name uncultured Delftia sp. Its description in RNAcentral is "bacterial SSU rRNA". It matches the Rfam family "Bacterial small subunit ribosomal RNA", at positions 1 to 649 of the family's 1533-position model. Lineage: Bacteria; Pseudomonadati; Pseudomonadota; Betaproteobacteria; Burkholderiales; Comamonadaceae. The record is from RNAcentral.